UACGUAGGGGGCAAGCGUUGUCCGGAAUUAUUGGGCGUAAAGCGCGCGCAGGCGGCUGUUUAAGUCUGGUGUUUAAGCCCAGGGCUCAACCUUGGGACGCACUGGAAACUGGAUAGCUUGAGUGCAGGAGAGGGAAGUGGAAUUCCACGUGUAGCGGUGAAAUGCGUAGAGAUGUGGAGGAACACCAGUGGCGAAGGCGACUUUCUGGCCUGUAACUGACGCUGAGGCGCGAAAGCGUGGGGAGCAAACAGG
RNAcentral lists this ribosomal RNA (252 nucleotides) under uncultured bacterium. RNAcentral's name for it is "partial 16S ribosomal RNA". It matches the Rfam family "Bacterial small subunit ribosomal RNA", at positions 524 to 776 of the family's 1533-position model. The record is from RNAcentral.